CUUUUAAAAACCUUGCGGUGAGGCAUGGUUUCUGACAUCAGAAAAAAAAGUGAAGUAUAGGCCACUGGACGUUAAGCAACCAAGUAUUAAACCUCACCUUUCCGUGAAGUGUUUACAAUUAUUUGUAUUUUUAAAAUAAAAAAAAAAAAAAAAAGGAUAAACAUUUCCAAAAACUGAAAAUAUUUGAGAAGACGCUAUUACCUUAGAAGUAAAAAAUUUACCAGACAGAAUAAACACGGCAGAAACAAACAAACGAAAAAAAACCAAGAGAAC
Molecule: long non-coding RNA, 273 nt
Filed under: Mytilus galloprovincialis (Mediterranean mussel)
Lineage: Eukaryota; Metazoa; Mollusca; Bivalvia; Mytilida; Mytilidae
Source: RNAcentral